Molecule: non-coding RNA, 174 nt
Organism: Nelumbo nucifera (sacred lotus)
Lineage: Eukaryota; Viridiplantae; Streptophyta; Magnoliopsida; Proteales; Nelumbonaceae
Source: RefSeq, a predicted model, not a curated record
GAACAUUGUGCACCUGAAACACUGCAGAUAGUACACAAAAACCCACACUGCAUCCAAGUACAUGCACUUCCCAAGCCACUAAUGCCAAUGGUGCAGAAUCCAAUUCCCGUGAACAUAUGGUGCAACUCAACAAUCCAUGUAAUUCUUAAGAUGAUUUCAAAAAAAAAAAAAAAA